CCUACGGGUGGCUGCAGUGGGGAAUAUUGGACAAUGGGGGCAACCCUGAUCCAGCCAUGCCGCGUGUGUGAAGAAGGCCCUCGGGUUGUAAAGCACUUUCAGGGAGGAAGAACGCCUGGUGGUUAAUACCCAUCAGGAAAGACAUCACUCACAGAAGAAGCACCGGCUAACUCCGUGCCAGCAGCCGCGGUAAUACGGAGGGUGCGAGCGUUAAUCGGAAUUACUGGGCGUAAAGCGCGCGUAGGUGGCUUGAUAAGCCGGUUGUGAAAGCCCCGGGCUCAACCUGGGAACGGCAUCCGGAACUGUCAAGCUAGAGUGCAGGAGAGGAAGGUAGAAUUCCCGGUGUAGCGGUGAAAUGCGUAGAGAUCGGGAGGAAUACCAGUGGCGAAGGCGGCCUUCUGGACUGACACUGACACUGAGGUGCGAAAGCGUGGGUAGCAAACAGGAUUAGAUACCCUUGUAGUC
This 465-nucleotide ribosomal RNA is filed under the name Vreelandella stevensii. RNAcentral's name for it is "partial 16S ribosomal RNA". It matches the Rfam family "Bacterial small subunit ribosomal RNA", at positions 338 to 795 of the family's 1533-position model. The record is from RNAcentral. Lineage: Bacteria; Pseudomonadati; Pseudomonadota; Gammaproteobacteria; Oceanospirillales; Halomonadaceae.